AGACACGUAGCUCAGUUGGUUAGAGUAUCACCUUGACAUGGUGGGGGUCCCCGGUUCGAAUCCGGGCGUGUCUACCA
This 77-nucleotide transfer RNA is filed under the name Gammaproteobacteria bacterium. RNAcentral describes it as "tRNA-Val". It matches the Rfam family "tRNA". From Rfam's summary of the family: Transfer RNA (tRNA) molecules are approximately 80 nucleotides in length. Their secondary structure includes four short double-helical elements and three loops (D, anti-codon, and T loops). Further hydrogen bonds mediate the characteristic L-shaped molecular structure. tRNAs have two regions of fundamental functional importance: the anti-codon, which is responsible for specific mRNA codon recognition, and the 3' end, to which the tRNAs corresponding amino acid is attached (by aminoacyl-tRNA synthetases). tRNAs cope with the degeneracy of the genetic code in two manners: having more than one tRNA (with a specific anti-codon) for a particular amino acid; and 'wobble' base-pairing, i.e. permitting non-standard base-pairing at the 3rd anti-codon position. Lineage: Bacteria; Pseudomonadati; Pseudomonadota; Gammaproteobacteria. RNAcentral also lists the same sequence under 2 other names. The record is from RNAcentral.